This 67-nucleotide transfer RNA is filed under the name Mileewa ponta. RNAcentral describes it as "tRNA-Leu". Lineage: Eukaryota; Metazoa; Arthropoda; Insecta; Hemiptera; Cicadellidae. The record is from RNAcentral.
UCUAUUGUGGCAGAAUCAAUUGCAAGAAAUUUAAGAUUUCUAUAUAAAUAAAAUUAUUUCUUUAGAA